Long non-coding RNA from Carassius auratus (goldfish), 622 nucleotides. RefSeq lists it as uncharacterized. The record is from RefSeq and is a predicted model, not a curated record. NCBI's taxonomy places the organism in Eukaryota, Metazoa, Chordata, Actinopteri, Cypriniformes, Cyprinidae. The transcript has 3 exons.
UAUAAGGCGGAGUUAUCCGCAGGUGUGGGUCUGUGUGGGUGGACAGGUAAAGCUGAAGGUGAAUGGGAGUUUAGUUCUUAGCGAUUUAGUUGGUUUAGCAUAAGAACGAUUUAAAUACAUAGCUUACAUUUUGGUCGUAGUACACGUGCUUUGCGGAGAGCCGGAGAGAAGUUAUACGCAGCGAUCGAUCAAAUUUCAGAUGUUGCAAUCUCAAACACGGACCUAAAAGACUAAAGUCGAAUUUCCACGGAUAAAAAGGAGCACACGAACAUGAAGAAAUCAUAUUCUGGCAUUGCGAGGUCCACCAGCGGCAAGCUGAGGAGGCCAGAGAGAGGAGAGGCAACAAGUCCUACUGGUACUGGUUCUGCAUCCUCUCACAGCGGGAAGCGCAGUCUGCUUUUGCACUGUCAGCACGUCUGCAUAUGGGGGCUGGUUGAAGAUCCAGAGAUCUGCUUUGACAAACUUCACAAACAAAGCAUACACAUGAACACAUGUUCACAAAUGACGCACACAGGAGAAAGAAUGCUAAUUAAAGCAAAUGUUUGUUUGUGUGCUGUCCAGGCGGUCUCACAUUUAAUGCCCCACUUUUUCUCUUACAUAAAACAGAAAACUGUUUUCCUCA